RNAcentral lists this ribosomal RNA (779 nucleotides) under Chaetoceros vixvisibilis. RNAcentral describes it as "partial large subunit ribosomal RNA". It matches the Rfam family "Eukaryotic large subunit ribosomal RNA", at positions 32 to 906 of the family's 3401-position model. Lineage: Eukaryota; Bacillariophyta; Thalassiosirophyceae; Chaetocerotales; Chaetocerotaceae. The record is from RNAcentral.
AAUUAAGCAUAUAAUUAAGCGGAGGAAAAGAAACUAACAAGGAUUCCCUCAGUAACGGCGAGUGAAGCGGGAAGUGCUCACCGUGUGAAUCUGUACAGGCUUGUCCUGUGCCGAGUUGUGGUAUAUAGAAACAAUAUAUUGAAUGAGUUGUGGGCUAAGUCCUUUGGAAAAAGGCAGCAGAGAGGGUGAUACUCCCGUUCUUGCCUAAAACUCUUUAUUGUGUUCAACGAGUCGAGUUGUUUGGGAUUGCAGCUCAAAGUGGGUGGUAAAUUCCAUCUAAAGCUAAAUAUUGGUGGGAGACCGAUAGCGAACAAGUACCGUGAGGGAAAGAUGAAAAGAACUUUGAAAAGAGAGUUAAAGAGUACCUGAAAUUGCUGAAAGGGAAGCAAAGGAAACCAGUGUUGUGUUUACUCAUUCUUCUCCUGCUGCUUGCAACAGGAGCGCUGUGAGUUUGGACAGGCCAUCCUGGGUUUGACUCGGUGGAAUUUGCACCGGGCUGGACUCACGCUGGCGAAAUGGUUUUCUUUACCCCGUCUUGAAACACGGACCAAGGAGUCUAACAUAUGUGCGAGUAUAGAGGUGGCAAACCUCCAUGCGUAAUGAAAGUAACAGUGGUAGGAAUUUUGCACUAUCCGCCGGCCACAAUCGUUCGCGAGAAAGGUCUGAGUGUGAGCAUACAUGUUGGGACCCGAAAGAUGGCGAACUUUGCUUGGGUAGGGUGAAGCCAGGGGAAACUCUGGUGGAGGCUCGUAGGGGUUCUGACGUGCAAAUCGUUCGUA